Small nuclear RNA from Pan troglodytes (chimpanzee), 111 nucleotides. The record is from Ensembl. NCBI's taxonomy places the organism in Eukaryota, Metazoa, Chordata, Mammalia, Primates, Hominidae.
UUGCUUCAGCAGCAAACAUAUACUAAAAUUGGAACAAAAUGGAGAGAAAUUAGCAUGGCCCCUGCCUGCAUAAGGAUGAUGCACAGAUUUUUUGAAGUGGUCCAUAUUUUG